Non-coding RNA from Danio rerio (zebrafish), 54 nucleotides. Lineage: Eukaryota; Metazoa; Chordata; Actinopteri; Cypriniformes; Danionidae. The record is from Rfam.
CUUAUCCUCGUUUGUAAGUUGCUUUGAAUAAAAGCGUCUGCUAAAUGACUAAAU